AUUGAACGCUGGCGGCAUGCCUUACACAUGCAAGUCGAACGGUAACAGGUUAAGCUGACGAGUGGCGAACGGGUGAGUAAUAUAUCGGAACGUGCCCAGUCGUGGGGGAUAACGUAGCGAAAGCUACGCUAAUACCGCAUACGAUCUACGGAUGAAAGCGGGGGAUCGCAAGACCUCGCGCGAUUGGAGCGGCCGAUAUCAGAUUAGGUUGUUGGUGAGGUAAAGGCUCACCAAGCCUGCGAUCUGUAGCUUGUCUGAGAGGACGACCAGCCACACUGGAACUGAGACACGGUCCAGACUCCUACGGGAGGCAGCAGUGGGGAAUUUUGGACAAUGGACGCAAGUCUGAUCCAGCAAUGCCGCGUGCAGGACGAAGGCCUUCGGGUUGUAAACUGCUUUUGUACGGAACGAAACGGCGAGCUCUAAUACAGUUUGCUAAUGACGGUACCGUAAGAAUAAGCACCGGCUAACUACGUGCCAGCCGCCGCCGUAA
RNAcentral lists this ribosomal RNA (493 nucleotides) under uncultured bacterium. RNAcentral describes it as "partial 16S ribosomal RNA". It matches the Rfam family "Bacterial small subunit ribosomal RNA", at positions 30 to 523 of the family's 1533-position model. The record is from RNAcentral.